Ictalurus punctatus (channel catfish) is the source of this 630-nucleotide long non-coding RNA. The record is from Ensembl. Lineage: Eukaryota; Metazoa; Chordata; Actinopteri; Siluriformes; Ictaluridae.
GGUUAGGGGUUAGGGGUUAGGUUUUUGAAUUAUUUAUUUCUUAUUUAAAGUCCCCUGUUUUAGGUUAAAUGUGCACUGGCACAUCUCCAUCUUCCUUCUCUUUUGUCUUUUUUAAUAUUUUCAGUGUUUUAUUCUGUCUUUUGUGUGUGAGGACUGAUCUGUGUAUUUAUCAAAAAAUGGGUUAUUUGGUUUUUAAUGGCCUAUAUGUCUAUCCUCUUCUGAUCAAAAGGACAGACUAUUCAGGGUUAGAGUGAGGCUUAGGCUCAGGAAUAAGAUUCGAAAACGAGCAGAUUGUUAGGCUUAGGGUUGGGGUCAGGCAUGGGGUUCAAAGGUUAGGGUUAGGGUCAGUAGUGGGAUUCCAAGGUUAUGGUUUGGGUUGGGGUUAGGGCAUGGGUUCAAAGGUUAGGAUUAGGGUCAGUAGUGGGAUUCCAAGGUUAUGGUUUGGGUUGGGGUUAGGGUCAAUGAUGGGGUUCAAAAAGGUUGGGUUUAGGGUUUAGGUUGUGGUCAGGCAUAGGGUUCAAGAGUAGGGCUUAGGGUUGGGGUCAGGCAUGGGGUUCAAAGGUUAGGGUUAGGGUCAGUAGUGGGAUUCCAAGGUUUUGGUUAGGGUUGGGGUUAGGGUCAGCGAUGGGG